Molecule: long non-coding RNA, 1672 nt
Organism: Syngnathoides biaculeatus (alligator pipefish)
Lineage: Eukaryota; Metazoa; Chordata; Actinopteri; Syngnathiformes; Syngnathidae
Exons: 3
Source: RefSeq, a predicted model, not a curated record
AAAACACCAUUGAUCCAAGGGCAUAAUAAGAAUAUACUGUACAGUAAACCUUAGUCAUUCACGGGGUAUAUAGACCAAACCUUGCAGAAUCGCAAAAAAACUGAGUAAUAGGCACCCCUAUUUUAGGACGUUAAUUUCAAACUAUAAAUAUACCAAAAACUGUGAUCCCAGAACGCUUGUUUUUUAUUUAAAAGGCAUCAUUUUACAUUACCCUUGAAAACAAACGGCUUACAGAUGAUUGAAUAAAAUGGAACAGAUGCACACGCAUACACACGUGGCGAAAACUCUCCAGAACUCCCACUAACAACACAUGCUAAACACCUCGGCAAAACCUAAAAAUGUUGGUCUUUUAGGUGAGACGUGAACCUCUGCAUACUUUCUUCCUCAGCAAACUCACUACUUUCCUAUUUGCCAGGAUGCCAUUUUGAGGCAUCAGAGUUUAUCAGCAAAAAGUGGAGGAUGUGCCACAGAAAAGACGAAUAAGGAUUGGUGAAUAGGCGAGGGUUCACUGUACUGUAUUAUCUAAAUGUAUAAACAACCUAUCCUGGAUGGUCUUGGCAUCAUCGAUGGCUCCAAAUGCGAUUAUCAAUAAUGACGACCCGUAAAAUUCAGGAUGCAGCGCCCACACAGCUGUUCUCCCCUGAGCUGGCGUACAUAAAACAUAAAAGGUCAGCUGUCCCUCCCUGCUUCGAUCCCUCGGGUGCGAGGAGCGGGGGGAUCCAGGCGGAUAGCAUCAACACCGGCUCCUGUGUGCGCUUGAUCUCCUAAUUCUGCUUCAUUUAAACUUCAUCAACUCUUCCACUGGACCGGAAGCAGAGAAGAAUGAGAACAGCUUGGCUGGAAACAGCUUUUUCUCCCCUGCUCCUCUUUUGUUGUGUGUGAUCUGAUAUGAUACCCAAAAGCAGCUGGAGUUACAGACCCCAUCCAUCACGCACACACACACACACGCAUUUGCAGAACAGCCAAAUGCACACAAAUUUAGAGACAGAGUUUAAUCAUUUAGUUUUAAUAAUUCUAAUGGCGGCUUGAGAGAAACUCUUAAGGGUUUAUUAUAGUAACAGCAGAAAAAAUAAAUUGUACUGGUUCAUUUCAGCACAUAUUAGGCAACAUAAGUUUUGAUUACCGUAUUUUCCGCACUAUAAGACGCACCGCAUUAUAAGACGCACCUUCAGCAAAUGGCCUAUUUUAAGACUUUUUUCAUAUAUAAGGCACACCGCAUUAAAAGGCGCAUAGAAUAGACGCUACAGUAAAGGCUGGGGUUAUGUUAUGCAUCCAUUAGAUGGAGUUGCACUAAAGGCUCAAUACUGAUCCAUAUAUAAGGCGCGCCGGAUUAUAAUGUCGGCUUUUGAGAAAAUUGCGGUUUACAGUGCUGAAAAUACUGUAACUGUCAAAGAGUAUCAAUGCAACAAUAUUUCUAUGACCGUGCAUAUUGCAGUGGAACUGUAACCCCUCAUACUGAAACAUUUCUGAAAUGAUGCCACGCUUAGUGAUCUGGAAAUUGCAUCCCCAAUAAUUAACAUUAGAAUUAAUUAAAUCGGAUUUACGGUGUAAGACAUGAGUUGAGAAAUUACAGUUUUCUACUUUUGACAGCAUAAUUUUAUUGAUACUUGCCUGUUAAUUUUUUUAAUAUGAUCAUUCUUGUUAAAAAAAUAGUUUCAAUGAUUUGAUUAUU